RNAcentral lists this ribosomal RNA (477 nucleotides) under uncultured bacterium. RNAcentral describes it as "partial 16S ribosomal RNA". It matches the Rfam family "Bacterial small subunit ribosomal RNA", at positions 28 to 507 of the family's 1533-position model. The record is from RNAcentral.
GAUGAACGCUGGCGGCGUGCCUAAUACAUGCAAGUCGAGCGAACAGACGAGGAGUUUGCUCCUCUGUCGUUAGCGGCGGAUGGGUGAGUAACACGUGGAUAACCUACAUAUAAGACUUGGAUAACGUCGGGAAACCGGAGCUACUACCGGAUAAUAUAUUGAACCGCAUGGUUCAAUAGUGAAAGACGGUUUUUUUGUCGGUUAUAGACGGAUCCGCGGCUCAUUAGGUAGUUGGUAAGGUAACGGCUUACCAAGGCAACGACGGGUAGCCGACCUGGGAGGGUGACCGCCCACACUGGGACUGAGAGACGGCCCAGACUCGAACGGGAGGCAGCAGUGGGGAAUAUUACACAAUGGGCGAGAGCCUGAUGCAGCGACGUUGGGUGAGGGAAGACGGCUUUCGGGGUGUAAACCAAUUUCAGUGGGGAAGAAGCGAAAGUGACGGUACCUGCAGAAGAAGCACCGGCUAACUACGUG